This 112-nucleotide ribosomal RNA is filed under the name Caerostris darwini. Lineage: Eukaryota; Metazoa; Arthropoda; Arachnida; Araneae; Araneidae. The record is from RNAcentral.
AACGGCCGUACCAUGCUGAAUAUACCGGUUCUCGUUAGAUCACCGAAGUCAAGCAUCAUUGGGCGCGGUCAUUACUUGGGAGGGUGACCACAUGGGAACACCGCGUGCCGUU